Molecule: long non-coding RNA, 1492 nt
Organism: Ctenopharyngodon idella (grass carp)
Lineage: Eukaryota; Metazoa; Chordata; Actinopteri; Cypriniformes; Xenocyprididae
Exons: 2
Source: RefSeq, a predicted model, not a curated record
AAAUAACUUUUUCAACAAUAUCUAGUGAUGGGCGAAUUCAAAACAAUGCUUCAUGAAGCUUCGAAGCUUUACGAAUCUUUUGUUUCUAAUCAGUGGUUCGGAGCGCCAAAGUCACAUGAUUUCAGUAAACGAGGCAUCGUUACGUCAUAAGUCUUUUGAAAUUUCAGUGGUUCACGUGACUUUGGCAGUUUGAUUCACGCUCUGAACCAUUGAUUCAAAACAAAAGAUUCAUAAAGCUUCGAAGCUUCAUGAAGCAGUGUUUUGAAAUCGCCCAUCACUAGAUAUCGUUUAAUAAAGUCGUUUUGUUUUUCUGCACAAAAAGUAUUCGGGUCGCUUCACAACAUUAAGGUUGAACCACUGUAGUCACGUUGACCGUUUUAUCGAUGUCUUUAAUGCCUUUCUGGACCUCAAAAGAUACAGUGUCAUGGCUGCCUACGUGUGGAUCAGAUACCCUCGGAUUUCAUCAAAAAUAUCUUAAUUUGCAUUCUGAGGACAAACAAAGCUCUUACGGGUUUGGGACAACAUGAGGGUGAGUAAUUAAUGACAGCAAAAAAAAUAAUUUUUGGGUGAACUAACCCUUUAAUAAAGUGAGAUUAAAUACAUAAAGUAUUUUACAUUUGUGUAAUUUAAUAUAGUUAAUACAGGUUUGUGUAAAAUUCUGAGAAUGUAUUUCACUGGUUUUAUUAUGUCACAAACAUUAUGUCACAAAAGUGCGGACUCAUAAGAAGACCGUGAGUGUUUAGGGUGCCAUUUGGGACAAGGCCAAAGACAGUGAGGAAAAUUGUUAUUGUAACCACUGAAAAAAAAUAAUAUAUAGAAUAAUCUUUUUAAGGCUAAACAUUUGAACUCAUUCAUUUAAUUUACAUCUAUUAUGAGAUGUCAGGUAUACAAGAAAAAAAUGAUUACAAAAACUUUGGUGGUCAAAGUAAUACAUUAUAAAAUUAAUUAAAUGAGUUGGUGGUUGUAUAUUUACAUUGGCUUCCAAACAAAUCUAGAAUCUGCAGACUUUAGAUUUUCUACACUGACUUUGAAGGGAAAAUCUGUGGAAUGGAUUUAAACACAGUAAAAUGUAUUAAAUGCAGCUUUGAGCAUAAAAUACUUGUGCUGAUGAAUAUGUAAAGGUCAGGAAAUGUGUAGAAUGGCAGAUUCUGUGAGGUACUGUUUGUAACGUGACAAAGUUUUUGUACUCAUCAGAUUUGUUCAGUUCUCCUAGACUAGAGACUAGCUCAGAUGCAAACACCCUUGAACAAGCUAACAAAGUUCUUCAGGAUUACUUGAAAAUUACAGACAGGUGAGUUUGAUCAGGGUUGGAACUGAAGUCUUGAGGCAGUAGACCUCAAGGAAGAGAAUCGAAGAACCCUGUAAUAUAUCAAUGUCCUUUCUGUAUGUUCAUCCAACAAGAUUUAGCCAGUCUGAGGGCUGGAAAUUUCUUCAGACUGGACAGUUCUCAUCACAUUGUUUUUCAUGUUAAUUUAAUCAGCUCUACUGAAAC